RNAcentral lists this ribosomal RNA (468 nucleotides) under uncultured bacterium. RNAcentral describes it as "partial 16S ribosomal RNA". It matches the Rfam family "Bacterial small subunit ribosomal RNA", at positions 28 to 507 of the family's 1533-position model. The record is from RNAcentral.
GACGAACGCUGGCGGCGUGCUUAACACAUGCAAGUCGAACGGAAAGGCCCUGCUUUUGUGGGGUGCUCGAGUGGCGAACGGGUGAGUAACACGUGAGUAACCUGCCCUUGACUUUGGGAUAACUUCAGGAAACUGGGGCUAAUACCGGAUAGGAGCUCCUGCUGCAUGGUGGGGGUUGGAAAGUUUCGGCGGUUGGGGAUGGACUCGCGGCUUAUCAGCUUGUUGGUGGGGUAGUGGCUUACCAAGGCUUUGACGGGUAGCCGGCCUGAGAGGGUGACCGGCCACAUUGGGACUGAGAUACGGCCCAGACUCCUACGGGAGGCAACAGUGGGAAAUAUUGCACAAUGGGCGGAAGCCUGAUACAACGACGCCGCGUGCGGGAUGACGGCCUUCGGGUUGUAAACCGCUUUCGCCUGUGACGAAGCGUGAGUGACGGUAAUGGAUAAAGAAGCACCGGCUAACUACGUG